This 72-nucleotide transfer RNA is filed under the name Camelus bactrianus (Bactrian camel). It matches the Rfam family "tRNA". Rfam says of the family: Transfer RNA (tRNA) molecules are approximately 80 nucleotides in length. Their secondary structure includes four short double-helical elements and three loops (D, anti-codon, and T loops). Lineage: Eukaryota; Metazoa; Chordata; Mammalia; Artiodactyla; Camelidae. The record is from Rfam by way of RNAcentral. RNAcentral also lists the same sequence under 2 other names.
GAGGGCAUAGCUCAGUGGCAGAGUGUGUGCUCGGCAUGCAUGAGAUCCUGGGUUCAAUCCCCAGUACCUCCA